This 317-nucleotide long non-coding RNA is filed under the name Solanum tuberosum (potato). Its description in RNAcentral is "long non-coding RNA (STUB_LNC001855)". The record is from RNAcentral. Lineage: Eukaryota; Viridiplantae; Streptophyta; Magnoliopsida; Solanales; Solanaceae.
GUGUAUUGUUGUUGUCUCUGUGAACUCACGCUGUGUAUUGAUGUUGUGAUUUUACGUUCUGGAAAUUUGGGUUCUUUUGUGAAGGAGGAAUGGAUUUGGGCCGGGUUGGGGAAAAGGGAGUGGGUUGGGCGUUUCUUUGGACAUUGCUGUAAGUUUGGUGGGCUGGAUUAUUGCUGAAGGAAUGGGAAUAGGGAACUGUGGGCUAUAGGUUUGCUGGAAAAGUUGAAGAAAAGGCCCAAAAUUUUGGUCUUAAAAUGGUUUUAAGGUGAGGUUAAAGAUGGGUUAGAUCUUGGAGUUUAAGAAAUAGCCGAAUUGAG